CACGUAGUUAGCCGGCGCUUCUUUACCCACUACCCUCACCACAACCCACAGUUGCGGCUUGACCACGGGCGAAAGAGGUUCACAACCCGAAGGCCUCCAUCCCUCACGCGGCGUCGCUGCAUCAGGCUUUCGCCCAUUGUGCAAUAUUCCCCACUGCUGCCUCCCGUAGGAGUCUGGGCCGUAUCUCAGUCCCAAUGUGACCGGUCACCCUCUCAGGCCGGCUACCCGUCAAAGCCUUGGUAGGCCAUCACCCCACCAACAAGCUGAUAGGCCGCGAGCCCAUCCCCCACCAGAAAAAACCCUUUCCACCAACCCCCAUGCGAGGACCAGUGAAUACCCGGUAUUAGCAGCCCUUUCAGACCGUUAUCCCGAAGAAGAGGGCAGGUUACUCACGUGUUACUCACCCGUUCGCCACUCAUCCACCCAACACAAAGCCAGGCUUCAGCGUUCGACUUGCAUGUGUUAAGCACGCCGCCAGCGUCGUCUCGUAGCCACGGAGUCAACUAC
This 507-nucleotide ribosomal RNA is filed under the name uncultured Actinomyces sp. RNAcentral describes it as "partial 16S ribosomal RNA". Lineage: Bacteria; Bacillati; Actinomycetota; Actinomycetes; Actinomycetales; Actinomycetaceae. The record is from RNAcentral.